UUUCAUACACUUGCACACGAACACUUGGAAUUUUCAUGCAAUUGCAUACGUGCACCUUUUCAUACACUUGCACACAAACACUUGGAUUUUUAAUUUCUUUCAUACACUUCCACACUUGCACAUUUUGAGUCUCAUUUGCAUUAAUCGACCUCUAUGGGGUUUUCCUUUGUUGACCGCCACAAUUCAUGUGGUUUGGGACCAAAAGCCUCACGAGAGACAUUGUAGAAUUUAGGAUUGCAUUUUUCUUUCCGUAUUGCAUUCAUAUAGUCAUAUCCAACGUGCGAACAUAUAUUGGG
Molecule: long non-coding RNA, 296 nt
Filed under: Coffea arabica (coffee)
Lineage: Eukaryota; Viridiplantae; Streptophyta; Magnoliopsida; Gentianales; Rubiaceae
Description: long non-coding RNA (CARA_LNC003395)
Source: RNAcentral